UCCCCAUCGUCUAGAGGCCUAGGACACCGCCCUUUCACGGCGGUAACAGGGGUUCGAAUCCCCUUGGGGACG
This 72-nucleotide transfer RNA is filed under the name Yersinia sp. AB97001. RNAcentral describes it as "tRNA-Glu". It matches the Rfam family "tRNA". Rfam says of the family: Transfer RNA (tRNA) molecules are approximately 80 nucleotides in length. Their secondary structure includes four short double-helical elements and three loops (D, anti-codon, and T loops). Lineage: Bacteria; Pseudomonadati; Pseudomonadota; Gammaproteobacteria; Enterobacterales; Yersiniaceae. The record is from RNAcentral.